Molecule: long non-coding RNA, 364 nt
Filed under: Fukomys damarensis (Damara mole-rat)
Lineage: Eukaryota; Metazoa; Chordata; Mammalia; Rodentia; Bathyergidae
Description: lncRNA (ENSFDAG00000031033.1)
Source: RNAcentral
CUUUUUUAUACAUGCACAUAGCACUUGGAGUGCUUAUAUGCCUGUUCAUAAGGGUCUUCUAAACUUCCAAUAAUGUAUCUGUGCUUUUGAAAUCUGCCUAAAGACAUUGUGCCUACAUUUUCUUUUUAAGCUUAUGUUAAGUUGCUUAUUUUUUCCCAACUGUUAUAUACUACUUAAGACAGCUGUGAUGUUAAAUGAUUACUCCUCUCAACAGUAUUUAAUUCAAGGCACUUCCCUCCUCUGUGGCUGCUGGAUUUCAAGACAAAGCUUCCAGAAUGAUUUAGAGACCAAAACUAGAAAGAAAUAAAGCCAGAGAUUCAGCAACUACCAAAAAUGAGAGUGCAAGCUUUUUCAGCCAUGCUGG